GCGUUCGCUUUGGCAGCACAUAUACUAAAAUUGGAACAAUACAGAGAAGAUUGGGAUGAUCCAACACAAGGACGACAUGCAAAUUUGUGAAAUGUUCGUAAUUUUU
Molecule: small nuclear RNA, 106 nt
Organism: Sorex fumeus (smoky shrew)
Lineage: Eukaryota; Metazoa; Chordata; Mammalia; Eulipotyphla; Soricidae
Source: RefSeq, a predicted model, not a curated record